AUGAGUUCGAUGCCUUGGUGCAGCAGGAAAGGCCAAGCGACUGAAUCUUCAAAGGGAAGACGUGGAAGGCAUGGCAUCUGCGAAUGCUUCUGGUUUCAUAUAGCCCUUGAUGAUUUGGACGGGACCCAGGGAGCCGAAGUUUGCUCUGGUAACCGAUACAAUCAAGGAUGGAAUUUUUGCAUGCCUGAAGAUUCUAAAGGCUUGGUCAGUAAGGAAGAGGACAGUGGCGACUCUCAUGGUAAGCUGGCAGGCAACGACUCUCGUGGUUACACCCCCGGGGAUGGUGUGCCCAGUGACCUCAUUUUUCCAUGGUUGCUCAUUUUGCUUCGUUACUAA
RNAcentral lists this ribosomal RNA (336 nucleotides) under Triticum aestivum (bread wheat). Its description in RNAcentral is "partial small subunit ribosomal RNA". The record is from RNAcentral. Lineage: Eukaryota; Viridiplantae; Streptophyta; Magnoliopsida; Poales; Poaceae.